CUUUCUGCCUGAUAUCUGCCCACACCUUUCUUGGAGGAUACCAAGAUUCAUGUUAAAUGCUUUUCAAUAGUCUUACUGUCUUAUACAUUUUUAGGGCUUCACACCUAUUGUGGGGAAAUAGCACCCCAGCUGAUAUACCCUCUUGCGGUGACAGCAAGAACAUGAAGGAUGUGCUCCAUGCCUGCUUUUACAUCCCUGCUGCAGUCUUCAAGCCACAUUUGUAUGCAUCUUGAAUGGCAGUUAUUUACUUUAAAUGGCUAUAAGUAAUAGUAAUUUCUCUCUUUUUUUUACAAUGAUACACCAUCUGUCAUUUCUUGUGAAGAAUUGUUUUCACCUAAUGCAAUAUAAAAGCAUCAGUUUCUAAUCUAAGCAGUGUUCAUAUUUGAUUGGGUAAAUUUAAGCACUGACAGUUCCAUUUUGAUAUUGUCAAAUUUUAAAAGAAAAGACUGUUUUAACUAUGGAUUUAAAGUUCAUUAACACCACUAAAGAUGAUAAAUGUAUGAAUGCUGUAUUGUGUAACACAUAGAUAGAAAUGCAUAAAUUUUGGUUUGCUGCUCUGCCUCAGUAAGUGAUUGAAAUGUCUCGCUUAACAGAUUUCAGUCAAUAGGUCACUUUCAGUUAAUUGUGUUUUAAUUCCAUUCCAAUCAAUGGGGGAAAAUAGUUAUGACUAACUUAAGUCCCACGGGACCAAGAUGUAACUAACAGUACCCAGCCCACAAUUUCUUUUAUGUUUCUUGCUGGAAAGUGGGAGGGGUAUUCCCUUUAAAAAUUGCAUGAAUAAAGAAUACAAAUGAGCACAUCAAA
Lacerta agilis (Sand lizard) is the source of this 804-nucleotide long non-coding RNA. RefSeq lists it as uncharacterized. The record is from RefSeq and is a predicted model, not a curated record. The transcript is spliced from 3 exons. Lineage: Eukaryota; Metazoa; Chordata; Lepidosauria; Squamata; Lacertidae.